UACAGAGGUCCCAAGCGUUGUUCGGAUUCACUGGGCGUAAAGGGUGCGUAGGUGGCCAGGUAAGUCGGAUGUGAAAGCUCGGAGCUCAACUCCGAAAUGGCAUUGGAAACUGCCUGGCUCGAGGGUUGGAGGGGGGACUGGAAUACUUGGUGUAGCGGUGAAAUGCGUAGAUAUCUGGAGGAACACCCGUGGCGAAAGCGGCUCUCUGGGACGGUACUGACGCUGAGACGCGAAAGCGUGGGGAGCAAACAGG
Molecule: ribosomal RNA, 253 nt
Filed under: uncultured bacterium
Lineage: Bacteria
Description: partial 16S ribosomal RNA
Rfam family: Bacterial small subunit ribosomal RNA
Source: RNAcentral